Alnus glutinosa is the source of this 80-nucleotide small nucleolar RNA. RefSeq annotates it as small nucleolar RNA R21. Lineage: Eukaryota; Viridiplantae; Streptophyta; Magnoliopsida; Fagales; Betulaceae. The transcript has a single exon. The record is from RefSeq and is a predicted model, not a curated record.
AAUCCCAAUGAAGAAUUUAUGUGAAAAUUAGAAGUAGUGGCCUCGAUAUUUAUUUGAUGAGCAUUGGAUUAUGAGGGAUU